This is a long non-coding RNA of Cyprinus carpio (common carp), 476 nucleotides long. RefSeq lists it as uncharacterized. Lineage: Eukaryota; Metazoa; Chordata; Actinopteri; Cypriniformes; Cyprinidae. The record is from RefSeq and is a predicted model, not a curated record. The transcript has 7 exons.
CCCACCGCGCGCACAGCCUGACUCCCCUUUGAGCGACAUCCCCAGCAGUGCAUUUUCCUGAGUGUCGAUUGCCGUCUGAUUGUUGUAGUUUGUGUCUACAGCAGCUACUGUAUAUACACCCCAAAGGCUCUUUUAAGAGCCACAUCACGAGAGCGUCUUUGGCUUUUGGCACCUACAUACAACCCAAAGGCUCUUUUCAGAGCCACAUCGCCCAGCAUCCUUGGCUUUCACCUACAUACACCCCAAGGCUCUUUUCAGAGCCACUCGCCUAGCAUCACACAGCAUUAUUUUGUGUCAUCCUCCACUGCCGCCUCCACAGAGUUUUUUCCCUGCCAGCUAUUACUUUAAGAUGACUGAGGCAGAAGAAGAGAAAGACGAUUACAGAGGAAAAUGAUUAUAAACAUUUUGUAGUUAGCUGGUAGUAAUUUAUAGUUAUAGGUAAUUUAGUUAAUUUAUUUGUUCAUGCUAGAUGCUUG